UUUCCUCAUUGGUGCCCUCAAUGGAUAGAGCGUCUCAGUGGAGCUGCUGAAGCUAGACGCUCAACCUGCACAUGAGUGAGUGCUCGUGGAAGCGCGCUGCAAACAUGUCGAUGGUGGCUGCUGAAGCUUGACUUUGGCAACGAGUCCAGGUGGCCAUUGGCACAGACAUGUCAUCCGUGAGCUUUAGUUCCAGGCGAGAUUCCAAGAGAAAUGUUCCCUUGCUUUGGUUGGAUGGGUGUAGGAGCAGCAAGCAUCGCCGCCACACGGAAAACUCCAGUAACUUCUUGCCCCUUCCAGCCUCGGUGAGAUGGCAUCGUAUUUUUUGAUCACGAACGACUUCAAGCUGAAGAUGUUGAACCAUGCGAUGCAAGAAUUAUUAUUUUGGGCUCCUAUGGAAGUCAAGGAACGUACAUAGAUAUUGGAAGCUAUACACUAUAAUGGAAUUUCUUCUGCUCUCGUAUGGAAACCUGCAACACACUGAAUGUUUUAUUUGUCGAUGACAAUGAAUUACUCAUGUUUUGUCUAAAAAAUGUGAAACAAUUCUUAUUUGCACUUUCUGCAGACUCAUGUAAUUGCUGUCAAGAACACUGUCAGUUCAGCGGUUGUCAUCAUGCAAGCAAUUGGCCGCUGAUCUGCUUGCUCUUUGUACUACUAAAGGUGGCAUCAUACGGCGAAGCAGGGGAUAUGGAUCAGAAGCCGCAAUGGUGCGCGUGACGACAUGUCUAACACUUGCCUGACCCUGGACUCUGGCUUCUUCUUGCAAGUAAGCUCAUUUUGCUCUUCUACACCCCCCAACUCAUGUGAGGAUCUCUGGUUGGAUUUGGGUAACCAGACCCCAAGAGAUGUAAUCCUAUUUGGAUAUAAAUUGUCUAUGCUAGCUUGAUUUAGUUAAUAGGAGUAGAUUUUAUAGAUGAACUGUGUAUGCUAGCUUGAUGGGGUAUCCAUUAACGUCUAAGGUUUCACAAGGAAAUGAGUUUCUUGCAUUCUCAUGUUGAAAAGGAUUAAAGAAACCUAGCAGAAUAUGGUUUCAAAGUUUUAGUUUCUUAUUGGGUUCAUCCACAAGGUUUGCCGAAAGUUAUCAACUUGCUUUGUAAAAAGGCUUUGUAUCAUGUAUCUUUGUUUGUGCAAGAAAUCCAAUUGGAAUUGGUCUCUUGUCAUGUGCAUGUACUUUCUUUAUUGCUUAUAUAUUUCAACCACUUAUCUAAGUUGUCUCUAAACCAUUUUCGA
Molecule: RNA transcript, 1227 nt
Organism: Triticum aestivum (bread wheat)
Lineage: Eukaryota; Viridiplantae; Streptophyta; Magnoliopsida; Poales; Poaceae
Exons: 5
Source: RefSeq, a predicted model, not a curated record